CGGGGGAAAGGCUGGAGGCGUGCGGCGUCAGCUAACUGGACCUGUAGCUUACGGAGCUUGCAACAGGCGAGACGGUGACGGAUAGUGCUGUGAGCGUUACGACGUAGUCUAUACAUAUCUACACAUAUCUAUAGAUACAUAUCUAAACAUAUCUAAACAUAUCUAAACAUAUCAAGCAGCGAUGCAGGUGGCCCGCGUGCGAAGCAUUCGCCCUCCGAGCCCACCCCACCCCGCAAGUGCCCUCUGCCCCAUCUGGUGCUGGUCCCCACCUGCACACGGAGUAUCAACUCGAGGCACCCCGGAAGGCACUGCAUCUGGGCAGUGUAGCCCCGCCAGCGGGCGCGAGCCCGUGGCCGUGCUGCACCGCCGGCUGCCCCAAGCAGCAGCGCAUUGCCGCUGCUGCCGCCGCCACCCUCCUCGCCUACGACCGUAGUGUUGUUGAGCGCAUCCUCAAUAGUCCGGUGCGCCGCCGCCAGGAGGGUGGCUUCCAGCGCCGCAUACGGCGCACCGGGGCGGGUCGCCAACUGGGGCAUCAAGCAGGGGGGGAGAUUAGGCGUUAGGCAUAUGCUGAGAGGUGGCCGUGUGACAGUGUGACAGUGCACUUUGCUGCUGCAAGGCAGGCAGGCAGCGUCAUCACCGGCGCCCAUGUCGUCCAGGAUCCAAGCAAGCCGUGCCGUACAGGCACCCGGAAGCCCCAGGUAGGCAGCGUUCUGCUGCUCUCCUGGCUCGCCACGGAGACCGGGACGCCGUGGGGCAUCCUAACAUUCUAAGUCAGGGUGAUGCUC
This 785-nucleotide long non-coding RNA is filed under the name Volvox carteri. Its description in RNAcentral is "long non-coding RNA (VCAR_LNC000575)". The record is from RNAcentral. Lineage: Eukaryota; Viridiplantae; Chlorophyta; Chlorophyceae; Chlamydomonadales; Volvocaceae.